Molecule: ribosomal RNA, 368 nt
Filed under: uncultured Flexibacter sp.
Lineage: Bacteria; Pseudomonadati; Bacteroidota; Cytophagia; Cytophagales; Flexibacteraceae
Description: bacterial SSU rRNA
Rfam family: Bacterial small subunit ribosomal RNA
Source: RNAcentral
UUAAAGGGUACGUAGGCGGGUUUUUAAGUCCGUGGUGAAAGCCUACAGCUUAACUGUAGAACUGCCAUGGAUACUGGAAAUCUUGAAUUCAGUUGAGGUAAGCGGAAUUUAUGAUGUAGCGGUGAAAUGCAUAGAUAUCAUAAAGAACACCUAUUGCGAAGGCAGCUUGCUGGACUUGGAUUGACGCUGAGGUACGAAAGCGUGGGGAGCGAACAGGAUUAGAUACCCUGGUAGUCCACGCCGUAAACGAUGAUCACUCGCUGCUGGCGAUAUACUGUCAGUGGCCAAGCGAAAGCAUUAAGUGAUCCACCUGAGGAGUACGCUCGCAAGAGUGAAACUCAAAGGAAUUGACCGGGGUCCGCACAAGC